Molecule: signal recognition particle RNA, 296 nt
Filed under: Aotus nancymaae (Ma's night monkey)
Lineage: Eukaryota; Metazoa; Chordata; Mammalia; Primates; Aotidae
Description: Metazoan signal recognition particle RNA (ENSANAG00000004616.1)
Rfam family: Metazoan signal recognition particle RNA
About the family: The signal recognition particle (SRP) is a universally conserved ribonucleoprotein. It is involved in the co-translational targeting of proteins to membranes.
Source: Rfam by way of RNAcentral
ACAGGGUGCGGUGGCGUGUGCCUGUAGUCCCAGCUACUUGGGAGGCUGAGGCUGGAGGAUCACUUGAGCCCAGGAGUUCUGGGCUGUAGGGCGCUGUGCCGAUUGGGUGUCCGCAGUAAGUUUGUCAUCAACAUGGUGACCUCCUGGGAGUUGUAGACAACCAGGUUGCCUAAGGAGAGGUGAACCGGCCCAGAUCAGAAACAGAGCAGAUCAAAACUCCCAUGCUGAUCAGUAGUGGGAUCGCAUCUGUGAAUAGUCACUGCACUCCAGCCUAGGCAACAUAGCGAGACCCUCUU